RNAcentral lists this long non-coding RNA (481 nucleotides) under Homo sapiens (human). RNAcentral describes it as "non-protein coding lnc-FRG2C-9:1". The record is from RNAcentral. Lineage: Eukaryota; Metazoa; Chordata; Mammalia; Primates; Hominidae.
GCCUGAGAUGGCUGCGGAUCUCGCUGGCCCAGUGGGUGGGCGCGGGGGACGCGGGAGGGGCCGAGCUCACCGGGCCAGCGCCGGGGCCUGCAGGUGGCCCUGGAGGAAUCUUCAAGCACCCGCCCGUGCAGCGGGCCUUCCGGGAGACCAGUGUGGACAGCGCCCUGGACACGCCCUUCCCAGCUGGAACAUUUGUGAGGCUGGAAUUUAAGCUCCGGCAGACAGAGAAGCGGCCGGAGGAAAGACUGGAAGAAACCCAAGUGCAAAGUCCAGCCCGAGAGGAGGAAGCAGAAAUGCCUGACCUGCGUCAAACUGGAAUGUGAGGAUAAGGUUCUGGGCAGGAUGGUCGCUGCCCUCCAGAGGCGCAGACUCGGCGGGAGCCUGAGGAGCACCAGGAGGCCGGGUGCAGCCGGGCGGGGCGGGCGGUGAGGACCCCACAGCUGCUGCUUCCCUGCACAGUUCGCCUUCUCCAAGGCCCGGC